This 502-nucleotide ribosomal RNA is filed under the name uncultured bacterium. Its description in RNAcentral is "partial 16S ribosomal RNA". It matches the Rfam family "Bacterial small subunit ribosomal RNA", at positions 29 to 523 of the family's 1533-position model. The record is from RNAcentral.
AUUGAACGCUGGCGGCGUGCUUAACACAUGCAAGUCGAUCGGUAACAGGUGUAGCAAUACAUGCUGACGCGAGGCGGACGGGUGGGGAAUAUUUGGGAAUCUGCCCAUCAGCGGGGGACAACCCGGGGAAACCCGGGCUAAUACCGCAUACGCUCUACGGAGGAAAGCCGGGGACCGCAAGGCCUGGCCCUGAUGGAUGAGCCCAAAACGGAGUAGCUAGUUGGCGGGGUAACGGCCCACCAAGGCGACGAGCCGUAGCUGGUCUGAGAGGACGAUCAGCCACACCGGAACUGAGACACGGUCCGGACUCCUACGGGAGGCAGCAGUGGGGAAUAUUGGACAAUGGGGGAAACCCUGAUCCAGCGACGCCGCGUGGGUGAAGAAGGCCUGCGGGUUGUAAAGCCCUUUCGGUAGGGACGAAAGCUCUUGCUCUAAUAAUGCAAGAGGUUGACUUAACCUACAUAAGAAGCACCGGCUAACUCUGUGCCAGCAGCCGCCGCCG